UACGUAGGGGGCUAGCGUUGUCCGGAAUCAUUGGGCGUAAAGAGCGUGUAGGCGGCCCGGUAAGUCCGCUGUAAAAGUCAAAGGCUCAACCUUUGAAUGUCAGUGGAUACUGCCGGGCUAGAGUCCGGAAGAGGCGAGUGGAACUCCUGGUGUAGCGGUGAAAUGCGCAGAUAUCAGGAGGAACACCGGUGGCGAAGGCGGGUCUCUGGGCCGUAACUGACGCUGGAGGAGCGAAAGCGUGGGGAGCAAACAGG
This 254-nucleotide ribosomal RNA is filed under the name uncultured bacterium. RNAcentral's name for it is "partial 16S ribosomal RNA". It matches the Rfam family "Bacterial small subunit ribosomal RNA", at positions 524 to 776 of the family's 1533-position model. The record is from RNAcentral.